Molecule: ribosomal RNA, 225 nt
Filed under: uncultured Streptococcaceae bacterium
Lineage: Bacteria; Bacillati; Bacillota; Bacilli; Lactobacillales; Streptococcaceae
Description: partial 16S ribosomal RNA
Rfam family: Bacterial small subunit ribosomal RNA
Source: RNAcentral
CGCGUAGGUAACCUGCCUGGUAGCGGGGGAUAACUAUUGGAAACGAUAGCUAAUACCGCAUAAGAGUGGAUGUUGCAUGACAUUUGCUUAAAAGGUGCACUUGCAUCACUACCAGAUGGACCUGCGUUGUAUUAGCUAGUUGGUGGGGUAACGGCUCACCAAGGCGACGAUACAUAGCCGACCUGAGAGGGUGAUCGGCCACACUGGGACUGAGACACGGCCCAG